UGUUCUCAGUCUCUGCUUUGUUUUCAUUCCAAGACCCACAGGGCACAAUCUCAGUCCACUUACUGUGUUAUGGCUCUCCUCAAUUAAGGGUGGCAGGGGGUAUCUCCCAGGCCGUGCAGAUCCAAAUAACACUCGGUUGCCAGCUGACGCUGUCCUUGGGACCUGGUGGAAAUACAAUUUCCAACCAUGAAGGAGCCCACUGAGGCCAAGGCUUUUCUCCCCUUGAUCUUUCUCCUUCUCCUCUAUCACUCUAUCUCUUUGGACUCAAGAAGAUCCACCGAGAUGACCACCAGACAUCCAAAUUAAGACCGCGCAGCAAAUAAUUGGCAACUUGGUCAGUUUCAGGAGGAAGCUGCAAAGAGAAAAACAAGAACUGGUUGGAACCAACUAGGCCCAAGAUGGCAGAAGAUUUGACUUCCAGUAGACCUUCAUCCUCAUUAUAUGCUCACUGUAAUAUACUAGCAUGCUAAAUGACAUACCAAUGCCAAGACAGUUGACAGUUGCCAUGACAACAACUGGAAAAGCUCAUACAGGCCUGAAAAGGAGUGUUGCAUUAGUUCCAGGUUCAAACCAUACCCCUGUUCUCAGAUAAGUCAUGAAUAUUCCUCCCACUCUUUCCAAUUCCCUCCCUUUUACCUCGACCCUUGUAUGCAUAUGGUAUCUCCAUCCCAAGUGGGUUGAGAAGUUGAUCUGUGAACUAAGUUUCCGCUUCUCCAUUCUUUCACCAUUGAAUAAAAUUUGUGCUGUUUCAGUCUCA
Balaenoptera acutorostrata (minke whale) is the source of this 757-nucleotide long non-coding RNA. RefSeq lists it as uncharacterized. The transcript is spliced from 2 exons. The record is from RefSeq and is a predicted model, not a curated record. Lineage: Eukaryota; Metazoa; Chordata; Mammalia; Artiodactyla; Balaenopteridae.